Molecule: ribosomal RNA, 335 nt
Filed under: uncultured eukaryote
Lineage: Eukaryota
Description: partial 18S ribosomal RNA
Rfam family: Eukaryotic small subunit ribosomal RNA
Source: RNAcentral
CCCUUAGAUGUCCUGGGCCGCACGCGCGCUACACUGAGUGUCUGAGAUAUGAGGCAUGCCUGGUCCGGCAAGGUCUAGGUAAUCACGAAAAGACACAUCAUGCUUGGGAUUGAUUAUUGCAAAUUUUAAUCAUGAACGAGGAAUUCCUAGUAAGUGCAAGUCAACAGCUUGCGUUGAUUACGUCCCUGCCCUAUGUACACACUGCCCGUCGCUACUACUGAUAGGAUGGUUUAGUGAGGCCCUUGGAUGGGCCCCGCCAGGUCAGCCCACUGCCCUGGCAGAGCACUGAGAAGACAGGCGAACUUGACUAUCUAGAGGAAGUAAAAGUCCUAACA